GCCUUGAAGAUCGGAGUGCUUGCACUCUGUGAAACAAGAUACAGGCUAGCGGCGGACGGGUGAGUAACACGUGGGUAACCUGCCCAAGAGAUCGGGAUAACACCUGGAAACAGAUGCUAAUACCGGAUAACAACAGAUGAUGCCUAUCAACUGUUUAAAAGAUGGUUCUGCUAUCACUCUUGGAUGGACCUGCGGUGCAUUAGCUAGUUGGUAGGGUAACGGCCUACCAAGGCGAUGAUGCAUAGCCGAGUUGAGAGACUGAUCGGCCACAUUGGGACUGAGACACGGCCCAAACUCCUACGGGAGGCAGCAGUAGGGAAUCUUCCACAAUGGACGCAAGUCUGAUGGAGCAACGCCGCGUGAGUGAAGAAGGGUUUCGGCUCGUAAAGCUCUGUUGUUGGUGAAGAAGGACAGGGGUAGUAACUGACCUUUGUUUGACGGUAAUCAAUUAGAAAGUCACGGCUAACUACGUGCCAGCAGCCGCGGUAAUACGUAGGUGGCAAGCGUUGUCCGGAUUUAUUGGGCGUAAAGCGAGUGCAGGCGGCUCGAUAAGUCUGAUGUGAAAGCCUUCGGCUCAACCGGAGAAUUGCAUCAGAAACUGUCGAGCUUGAGUACAGAAGAGGAGAGUGGAACUCCAUGUGUAGCGGUGAAAUGCGUAGAUAUAUGGAAGAACACCGGUGGCGAAGGCGGCUCUCUGGUCUGUUACUGACGCUGAGGCUCGAAAGCAUGGGUAGCGAACAGGAUUAGAUACCCUGGUAGUCCAUGCCGUANACGAUGAGUGCUAAGUGUUGGGAGGUUUCCGCCUCUCAGUGCUGCAGCUAACGCAUUAAGCACUCCGCCUGGGGAGUACGACCCGCAGGUUGAAACUCAAAGGAAUUGA
RNAcentral lists this ribosomal RNA (880 nucleotides) under uncultured bacterium. RNAcentral's name for it is "bacterial SSU rRNA". It matches the Rfam family "Bacterial small subunit ribosomal RNA", at positions 61 to 913 of the family's 1533-position model. The record is from RNAcentral.